Molecule: long non-coding RNA, 343 nt
Filed under: Phoenix dactylifera (date palm)
Lineage: Eukaryota; Viridiplantae; Streptophyta; Magnoliopsida; Arecales; Arecaceae
Description: long non-coding RNA (PDAC_LNC001354)
Source: RNAcentral
UCUCAUCUCUCUCCAUUCAUCGAAAGAUUUAUCUCCAAUCAGAUUAAAACACCGCUAUCCUUACAAACUCCUACAUGCAUUACAUGUGCCAAAUACCAUAAGUUGGUCUAUAGGUAGAGAGAGUUGAUAAUUAUACUUGGCAUUGAGGCAGUGGCUUGGGUUUUUUACACAUUGUCUUUGCAUUAGAAAGAAGGAAAAAAAGAUCAAAUCAACUAGUAAAUACUAGAAAAAAAAGGCUUUCUACAUAUGCAUCGUUCAAAGCAACGAUUUUGAUCAGCUGUAGCAAGGAAAGAGACUUCACGAGAACCAAAAUAGGAAGAAAUAGGUAUGGCCUAUAUAUUCU